RNAcentral lists this ribosomal RNA (253 nucleotides) under uncultured bacterium. RNAcentral describes it as "partial 16S ribosomal RNA". It matches the Rfam family "Bacterial small subunit ribosomal RNA", at positions 524 to 776 of the family's 1533-position model. The record is from RNAcentral.
UACGAAGGGGGCUAGCGUUGCUCGGAAUCACUGGGCGUAAAGCGCACGUAGGCGGCUUUUUAAGUCAGGGGUGAAAUCCUGGAGCUCAACUCCAGAACUGCCUUUGAUACUGAGAAGCUUGAGUCCGGGAGAGGUGAGUGGAACUGCGAGUGUAGCAGUGAAAUGCGUAGAUAUCAAGUGGAACACCAGUGGCGAAGGCGAGUCUCUGGACAUUUCCUGACGCUGAGGCACGAAAGCCAGGGGAGCAAACGGG